UGCCUCAGUAACUGCGAGUGAAGCGGCAAAAGCUCAAAUUUGAAAUCUGGUACCUUUGGGUGCUCGAGUUGUAAUUUGGAGAGGCAACUUCGGAGGAGGCGCUGGCCUAAGUUCCUUGGAACAGGACGUCACAGAGGGUGAGAAUCCCGUGCUUGGCUGGCUGUCCUCCUUCAUGUGAAGUGUCUUCGACGAGUCGAGUUGUUUGGGAAUGCAGCUCAAAAUGGGUGGUAAACUCCAUCUAAGGCUAAAUAUUGGCGAGAGACCGAUAGCGCACAAGUAGAGUGAUCGAAAGAUGAAAAGCACUUUGAAAAGAGAGUUAAAAAGUACGUGAAAUUGUUGAAAGGGAAGCGCUUGAGACCAGACUCGGUGAUUGGUGAUCAGCGGUUGCUUUUGCUCCGUGCACUUGCCUUUUACUGGGCCAGCAUCAGUUGUGACGGCGGGAUAAAGACCUAGGGAAUGUAACUCUCUUCGGGGAGUGUUAUAGCCCUGGGUGUAAUGCCGCCUGUUACGACUGAGGACCGCGCUUCGGCUAGGAUGCUGGCAUAAUGGUCUUCAGCGACCCGUCUUGAAACACGGACCAAGGAGUCUAACAUCUAUGCGAGUGUUCGGGUGUAAAACCCCUACGCGUAAUGAAAGUGAACGGAGGUGGGAACUCUUCGGAGUGCACCAUCGACCGAUCCUGAUGUCUUCGGAUGGAUUUGAGUAGGAGCAUAGCUGUUGGGACCCGAAAGAUGGUGAACUAUGCCUGAAUAGGGUGAAGCCAGAGGAAACUCUGGUGGAGGCUCGCAGCGGUUCUGACGUGCAAAUCGAUCGUCAAAUUUGGGUAUAGGGGCGAAAGACUAAUCGAACCAUC
Molecule: ribosomal RNA, 853 nt
Filed under: Plectania milleri
Lineage: Eukaryota; Fungi; Ascomycota; Pezizomycetes; Pezizales; Sarcosomataceae
Description: eukaryotic LSU rRNA
Rfam family: Eukaryotic large subunit ribosomal RNA
Source: RNAcentral